GAUGAACGCUGGCGGCGUGCCUAAUACAUGCAAGUCGAGCGAACAGAUGAGGAGCUUGCUCCUCUGACGUUAGCGGCGGACGGGUGAGUAACACGUGGAUAACCUACCUAUAAGACUGGGAUAACUUCGGGAAACCGGAGCUAAUACCGGAUAAUAUAUUGAACCGCAUGGUUCAAUAGUGAAAGACGGUUUUGCUGUCACUUAUAGAUGGAUCCGCGCCGCAUUAGCUAGUUGGUAAGGUAACGGCUUACCAAGGCAACGAUGGGUAGCCGACCUGAGAGGGUGAACGGCGAAAGUGGGAAUGAGAUAGGGCCCAGACGCCUACGGGAGGAAGAAGGGGGGAAUAUUGCACAAUGGGCGGAAGACUGAUGAAGAAACGCCGCGUGCGGGAUGACGGCCUUCGGGUUGUAAACCGCUUUCGCCUGUGACGAAGCGUGAGUGACGGUAAUGGGUAAAGAAGCACCGGCUAACUACGUG
This 477-nucleotide ribosomal RNA is filed under the name uncultured bacterium. RNAcentral's name for it is "partial 16S ribosomal RNA". It matches the Rfam family "Bacterial small subunit ribosomal RNA", at positions 28 to 507 of the family's 1533-position model. The record is from RNAcentral.